AUGUUGUCUCCCCUCCAGACUCUUCCUCCUAUCUGUGCCAGUAGCAGCUGUGAAACAGUGGGCACUUUAUGCACUAAGCUAGCGAGGGCGGAGCGGCGGGCACGGCGAGAAACGUCUACAGUACAGAGGCAGCCCGAGCCGCCCCAACCUGCUCUGUUGCAUCUUGGGCUCACAGCUCACUCCUAUGGGCUUCACCAUUAUCUCACACACUUUCCUGACCGGCUCGAUAAGCUUCACAGGUGCCUGCAGCCAGUCAAGCCCGGGAAGCCUGAAACCACUUCUUCACGCACAUCCCUCCCUGCUAGGCUGCUCGCACCAACACAUGGCCCUGAGAAAGACGUCCACCAACACAUACUCACCACUUUGCUAUGGGACAUACUCGAUGAUUCCACCUUUACCCAGUCUCUGAUUACUUUGGCCUCCAAGCCCAUCACCUACCAGCCAACAGAAGCAUCUCCCUCUAAUCGCCCCCCUAUCUGUCCGACAUCGCCUCCCUCCUCCCAACCUCAAGUUCCACCGGCCGGGACGAAGGCUGGACUGAGUGAAGAGCACAGCCAAGUGGACAGGCAGGGGACUGCAGAGUGUUCGCUCCAAACACAGGACAGGCUACACACUGAACGUCUGCCUGCUGACAUGAGUGAAGAUGUUUUGCUGAGCACCCUCCAAAACCUGAUGAUGGAACUCGUCAGAGGAGAGCUGGACCCACGCAUCGUCGCCGUGCCACCCGUCUCUAUCAGAAGCAGGAGGAUGUCCAGAGCCAUGGCUGAGGAGGAGAAAAGCAAAAAGGAUACAACGGGGACUUGA
Molecule: long non-coding RNA, 804 nt
Filed under: Scophthalmus maximus (turbot)
Lineage: Eukaryota; Metazoa; Chordata; Actinopteri; Pleuronectiformes; Scophthalmidae
Description: lncRNA (ENSSMAG00000027802.1)
Source: RNAcentral